Molecule: small RNA, 132 nt
Filed under: Klebsiella pneumoniae
Lineage: Bacteria; Pseudomonadati; Pseudomonadota; Gammaproteobacteria; Enterobacterales; Enterobacteriaceae
Description: RtT sRNA
Rfam family: RtT RNA
About the family: This family represents a bacterial cis-regulatory element known as RtT RNA.
Source: RNAcentral
UAUUCUGCCCCAUGGGGAAGGAUGAGAAGCUUCGACUAAGGUUCGACUCGAGUGAAGCGAGAGAACGUUGCCGCAGGCAACGGCCCGAAGGGCGAGGAGCGAUAGCGACGAGUUAUCCUUCCCCCACCACCA